Molecule: ribosomal RNA, 252 nt
Filed under: uncultured bacterium
Lineage: Bacteria
Description: partial 16S ribosomal RNA
Rfam family: Bacterial small subunit ribosomal RNA
Source: RNAcentral
UACGUAGGUCCCGAGCGUUGUCCGGAUUUAUUGGGCGUAAAGCGAGCGCAGGUGGUUUAUUAAGUCUGGUGUAAAAGGCGGUGGCUCAACCAUUGUAUGCAUUGGAAACUGGUAGACUUGAGUGCAGGAGAGGAGAGUGGAAUUCCAUGUGUAGCGGUGAAAUGCGUAGAUAUAUGGAGGAACACCGGUGGCGAAAGCGGCUCUCUGGCCUGUAACUGACACUGAGGCUCGAAAGCGUGGGGAGCAAACAGG